RNAcentral lists this ribosomal RNA (373 nucleotides) under uncultured bacterium. RNAcentral's name for it is "bacterial SSU rRNA". It matches the Rfam family "Bacterial small subunit ribosomal RNA", at positions 30 to 404 of the family's 1533-position model. The record is from RNAcentral.
AUUGAACGCUGGCGGCAUGCCUUACACAUGCAAGUCGAACGGCAGCACGGGAGCAAUCCUGGUGGCGAGUGGCGAACGGGUGAGUAAUAUAUCGGAACGUGCCCAGUCGUGGGGAUAACGUAGCGAAAGCUACGCUAAUACGCAUACGAUCUAUGGAUGAAAGCGGGGGAUCGCAAGACCUCGCGCGAUUGGAGCGGCCGAUAUCAGAUUAGGUAGUUGGUGAGGUAAAGGCUCACCAAGCCGACGAUCUGUAGCUGGUCUGAGAGGACGACCAGCCACACUGGGACUGAGACACGGCCCAGACUCCUACGGGAGGCAGCCAGUGGGGAAUACUGGACAAUGGGCGAAAGCCUGAUCCAGCAAUGCCGCGUGC